GCGGGUGUAGCUCAGUUGGUUAGAGUGCCGGCCUGUCACGCCGGAGGUCGCGGGUUCGAGCCC
Molecule: transfer RNA, 63 nt
Filed under: Rhizobium sp. Leaf311
Lineage: Bacteria; Pseudomonadati; Pseudomonadota; Alphaproteobacteria; Hyphomicrobiales; Rhizobiaceae
Also listed under: 1 other name
Description: tRNA-Asp
Rfam family: tRNA
About the family: Transfer RNA (tRNA) molecules are approximately 80 nucleotides in length.
Source: RNAcentral